Molecule: transfer RNA, 70 nt
Filed under: Symphurus orientalis (pygmy tongue-sole)
Lineage: Eukaryota; Metazoa; Chordata; Actinopteri; Pleuronectiformes; Cynoglossidae
Description: tRNA-Met
Source: RNAcentral
AGUUCGGUAAGCUAAUCAAGCUGGUGGGCCCAUACCCCACACAUGUGGACUAACAAUUCCACCCAAACUA